Molecule: unclassified non-coding RNA, 18 nt
Filed under: Chlamydomonas reinhardtii
Lineage: Eukaryota; Viridiplantae; Chlorophyta; Chlorophyceae; Chlamydomonadales; Chlamydomonadaceae
Description: small RNA Cre_1911
Source: RNAcentral
GGGCUGAUGGCGCCGAGG